RNAcentral lists this long non-coding RNA (785 nucleotides) under Felis catus (domestic cat). Its description in RNAcentral is "lncRNA (ENSFCAG00000043672.2)". The record is from RNAcentral. Lineage: Eukaryota; Metazoa; Chordata; Mammalia; Carnivora; Felidae.
CAGAGGUUCUGUUUAUUUGACCACUUUGAGGUCACAUGGGGUAGCUUAACUUUGGACAAAAUCUUGCUGAUACCAGGCUGUCCACAAGCCCAGUGGAGAAGGUAAGAACUGAAGGGAAGCUGUGCAUGGAAUCUGAUGCUUGUGCGGAGUGAACCUCUUCCCACACGGAUCUUCCCCCGUCUUUAUUCGGUGAAAACGAUGAACAUGGUGGAUGUGAAUUCGUGUACAACGUUUAGAAAUGAAAUACAUAUGGAAUGAAAUACGACAAACCCUCUUGGUGUUUAAUUCCGCUAAAUGAUGCUAGCUAAAGCCAGGGGUUUAGAUGCGGUCGAUGCCGCUGAAAUAUUCCAUGGGCCGUUCUGACAUCUCAAGGAUUUCCACACUAAUCAUCCAUGAACGAGCCAUUUGAUAAUUUUUAUUGCCUGUGAAUCUGAUGUCUUUUUCAGGUAAGGCACUUUUGGGGCAUAGAGUGUGGUUAAGUGCCACUCUUAUACAUGAGGACACAACACGCAUGAGCAAACACUAACUUUAGUAGAUGAUACAAUUGUGAGUGGAAUCUGCAGAGUUCAGGCAGUGUUCAGAGUUCUCUAAAAGUGGUCUGCACAUAAGAAAUUGACAAACAAAUUGAUCCCUUGCUUAGAAUUAGGUUGCUGGCUUGAAUAACUGGAUGAAUGAUGGUGCCAAUUACUGAAAUAAGAAAAUAAGAUGACAAGACUUGAAGAAUAAUAUCAGGAGUAAGUUUUUGGACAUGUAGUGUUUGUAGUGCAUUGCGACUUCCAUGAAAU